CCUACGGGGGGCAGCAGUGGGGAAUAUUGGACAAUGGGCGAAAGCCUGAUCCAGCCAUGCCGCGUGUGUGAAGAAGGCCUUCGGGUUGUAAAGCACUUUCAGUGGGGAAGAAAGCCUUGGGGCUAAUACCCUCGAGGAAGGACAUCACCCACAGAAGAAGCACCGGCUAACUCCGUGCCAGCAGCCGCGGUAAUACGGAGGGUGCGAGCGUUAAUCGGAAUUACUGGGCGUAAAGCGCGCGUAGGCGGUCUGAUAAGCCGGUUGUGAAAGCCCCGGGCUCAACCUGGGAACGGCAUCCGGAACUGUCAGGCUAGAGUGCAGGAGAGGAAGGUAGAAUUCCCGGAGUAGCGGUGAAAUGCGUAGAGAUCGGGAGGAAUACCAGUGGCGAAGGCGGCCUUCUGGACUGACACUGACGCUGAGGUGCGAAAGCGUGGGUAGCAAACAGGAUUAGAUACCCGAGUAGU
Molecule: ribosomal RNA, 464 nt
Filed under: Vreelandella stevensii
Lineage: Bacteria; Pseudomonadati; Pseudomonadota; Gammaproteobacteria; Oceanospirillales; Halomonadaceae
Description: partial 16S ribosomal RNA
Rfam family: Bacterial small subunit ribosomal RNA
Source: RNAcentral